UGUUCUGUGGCGGAGUUGGUUAACGCGCCCUGUCUAGCGAACUUGGGGAGACGUGGGUUCAAAUCCCACCAGAACUA
This is a non-coding RNA of Aedes albopictus (Asian tiger mosquito), 77 nucleotides long. The record is from Rfam. NCBI's taxonomy places the organism in Eukaryota, Metazoa, Arthropoda, Insecta, Diptera, Culicidae.